UGGGGAAUAUUGGACAAUGGGCGCAAGCCUGAUCCAGCAAUGCCGCGUGUGUGAAGAAGGCCUUCGGGUUGUAAAGCACUUUUAUCAGGAGCGAAACGCUGUCGGCUAAUACCCGGCGGAACUGACGGUACCUGAGGAAUAAGCACCGGCUAACUUCGUGCCAGCAGCCGCGGUAAUACGAAGGGUGCAAGCGUUAAUCGGAAUUACUGGGCGUAAAGCGUGCGUAGGCGGUUUCUUAAGUCUGCUGUGAAAUCCCCGGGCUCAACUUGGGAAUGGCAGUGGAUACUGGGAGGCUAGAGUGUGUCAGAGGGUGGUGGAAUUCCCGGUGUAGCGGUGAAAUGCGUAGAGAUCGGGAGGAACAUCAGUGGCGAAGGCGGCCACCUGGGACAACACUGACGCUGAGGCACGAAAGCGUGGGGAGCAAACAGGAUUAGAUACCCUGGUAGUCCACGCCCUAAACGAUGCGAACUGGAUGUUGGUCUCAACUCGGAGAUCAGUGUCGAAGCUAACGCGUUAAGUUCGCCGCCUGGGGAGUACGGUCGCAAGACU
RNAcentral lists this ribosomal RNA (549 nucleotides) under uncultured bacterium. RNAcentral describes it as "partial 16S ribosomal RNA". It matches the Rfam family "Bacterial small subunit ribosomal RNA", at positions 355 to 895 of the family's 1533-position model. The record is from RNAcentral.